UCUUUGCACUCUAAAUACUACUACUGCUACGGAAUGAUACAGAGAAGAUUAGCAUGGCCCCUGGCAGAAGGAGGACAAUAAAAUUUGUGAAGCGGACAGGCUAACG
This is a small nuclear RNA of Polyodon spathula (Mississippi paddlefish), 106 nucleotides long. The record is from RefSeq and is a predicted model, not a curated record. Lineage: Eukaryota; Metazoa; Chordata; Actinopteri; Acipenseriformes; Polyodontidae.